UCAAAUUGAUGCACUGAGAGUGUCUGGAAAGGUACUCUAGAGUCCUGUGUACCUUGCAUUAGGCAUAGCCUCUCCUGUGUGCGCAUAAGUGUGGGAACUGCUGGCUCAACACCAUUGGCACUCAAUUCUGCAGUGCAGAGCUGAAAUCAGAGAGGGAUCUACUGGCCAGAUGCCUGACGGCAAGCUGGAGAUUGCAGAGGGCAAGAAAUUUGGAGAACUGAACAGAAAAUGUCAAGUGAAGCAGGAGAAUUUAUUUUUGCAGCCAGUGACUUUUGACUCCAAGGAGAGUUCAGAGUACAGUGAACAACUGCUGGGAUUAGACAAAAUAGGGUUACAGGUCUGUGGAAAGUAAGCAGCAGAUAACCCAUGCUAUUUAAUAUUGUCCUCUGCUUUGACAGAGUGUGACAGAGUUCCCCAGAACAUCGUUGCUCUUCACAAGAGAGUGUGCUCUUGCAAAAACAGCAUCAGUGCUAAUGCAACUUAGUGAAUUUGUGGGAACAUAGCAGAUUUCCAGGCUUUGGGUUUCUGUCUCCUUAACUUACAGAACCAACCUCAGAUUACUGUAUGGGUUAGAGUCAACGGAAUCCUCCCCUGCACAAAAUGUACCUUCAGAACAAAAGCCCAAACCCUGACAGGGUUUGUUUCAUUACUGAAACAGGGCUAAUGCUCUUGCUGCUUGAGAAGGUCACACAUGGGUAGCACCAUCACAGAGAAGAGCAAGAAGCUGCCCUUGCCAUUGCUUGACCAUUUUAUUCCUUUAUCUUAAGUAGUCCUGACUAGGGUUGGCAUGAGAUGAACUUUGUUCAUCCACAUCAAGAUGUACUUGGUGCUUUCUUUGUGGGGUGGUUUAAAAGAAAACACCUCUUCAGCCCUGCCCGUUCCAAAGGUUCAGAUACUGAUUUACCCCCUCCUAUUCCUAAUGUGAAGGACUGAAAUUCUGAUUUCACAUCCAUGGUCUUGUGCUUAUUUCUUUGAGGGCUGGCCCUGGUGACCUGGUUAUGCUACAUCCUCCUGCUGCUCUUCAGUGUCCUUACAGCUGCUGCUUGAUUCUAGGCUCUCAAAGCACUCAGCUAAAGCAGCUGUGACUUUUGGGCCAUGAAGCUGUAACCUCUGUGAGCAGCUGUGCUUGAGUCUGCUAAAACUAAUUUUGCAUCUUGGCAACAGUUUUUGGCACGUAUUGGUCCCACUAGUGUGGUGGUACAAUGUGAUCCACCAGCAGUGCCACUGACCUAAACAGGCUUUAACUGUGCAGUAGAUGCGUAGCAACUCUUGUUUUGCUACAUUUCCUCACCCUUCAUUUGUUGGCACAAGGCUCUCUUGGUGUCUGCUGUAACUGUAAAAAGUUAGGAGUGCUUUUCAUCCAAGUAUCUUUGCUAGAUAACUUGGAGUGCAUCGGUCUUAUUUCUGUAUCUCUAAUUGUUGAAUCUCUGCAUAACCUGUAACUGUAAAGUUUGGAAGGUGAGUGUUGAGCACUUAAGAGGGCAUGGAUAAAGGAAAAAUCAGAGUUCCUUGCUUAGUAAAAAUUACCAUAAUGUUAUAUCCACCUACACUAGCUUUUAACUGUUUUAUUGGAAAAGUCUGAACCCUAAAAAGCUGUUUUAAUGAUGGGUAUGGGAGAGCAGAAAGGGAUGUCACACUGCUUAGGUUCCUUCUAGCCCUGCACUUAUCUAUCCCUUCAUAAGAAACACUUUAGCUUUUGAGAAGCUCAGUGUGUUCCAGCUUGAUAACCUGUGAAUGGCCUAAGGUGAAAAUUUUGGAUUUUACUAAUGGUCCUCUCAUCUGUAGGCAGAAGUGUUUGGAGAUGGCAUCUGGGACAGAAAUUACGUUUUUCUGACCUUGGACAGUCCAUCUCAUACCACUUCCUGCACUAUUUGGUCAUUUAAACCUCCUGAAGGUCUGAAGUCCAUUUGGUUUCUGCAGCAGAUCUGUAACUGGGUUAUCCUUGCGUUACCUUUUGGAAGAUGUAGGUCAAUUUUCAACCUGUUCAGUUGCCUUGACACUUCUGAGCCAGAACAACAGAUGAUGUGGAUGCUGAAGUGCAAAAACUAUGUAUCAAUACUCAGAAAAAGAAAUGGGAAAUACGAAGUUCAGAGGGUGAUGCUGUGUCAAGUGCUUGUUUGCCUACACAUUCUGUGUCAGUGCAGUGGCCCAUCUAAGGUCUACAGGGCUUACAUCUACCUCAUGUCAAGGCUGCACAAAGCCAGAGGAAAGGAUGUCCUGUGUGGCUGGAAAUAGGCUGGGGAGCUGUGCGUGUUCACCCUGGCCUGGGGACAGCCCACCCUGCUCUUGGUAAGGCAUGCUGAGGUAGGCUGGAGCACACAGGGACAGGUCCUGCAGGCAGUAGAGCUGCAUCUAAGAGAGUAAUGCACUGGAAAAUGGCAUGUAUCUAGGAGGAGCUGAGAGCUACUAUGUAUUGGAAUCAAACACAGCCACAGAGCCUUUCCUGGUUUUUUGUUUCUCGUGAGCAAGAGUUGAGAAAGCAUUACUUAUAGACAGACUGUGAGAAAAGCCUUGUAAAGCUGAGCCUUGGCACAACACAUCAGCAGCUUGAUUUAUCUCCUUUAAUUCCAUUGUUCCUGGAAGGGUCUUUAGUAAAACUCAUUCCUCCUUCUUUCCUUGGGAAGCUACUAACAUCCCAAAACAGUGAAUCAACCUCAAUAGCUUUUCCUUCUGCCUGUCACCCCACACAUGCCCUUUGGUGAGCAAAAACAGUCAAGUGUUUGCAUGCCUUCCCACUCUGUUUGUAUGUUCAAUCUGAAAGAAAUAUUAUUUCUGAGAUUUGAUUUCUCAAUUGUCUCUCCCCUGUUUUCUACUAUCACGUUCCAACUGAAAGCAAUCUGAUUAUCAAACAAGGACUUGAUGGGCAAGCACAAGCUUUGAACAAACAGUUAUUGCGAUAUUACCUUUGUUCAAAAGCCCAAAUUUUUAUGGGUAGUGGGGCAAAAA
Molecule: long non-coding RNA, 2946 nt
Organism: Corvus hawaiiensis (hawaiian crow)
Lineage: Eukaryota; Metazoa; Chordata; Aves; Passeriformes; Corvidae
Exons: 3
Source: RefSeq, a predicted model, not a curated record